This 509-nucleotide ribosomal RNA is filed under the name uncultured bacterium. Its description in RNAcentral is "partial 16S ribosomal RNA". It matches the Rfam family "Bacterial small subunit ribosomal RNA", at positions 28 to 523 of the family's 1533-position model. The record is from RNAcentral.
GACGAACGCUGGCGGCGCGCUUAAUACAUGCAAGUCGAGCGAGAACCAGGGCUUCGGCCCUGGGGACAGCGGCGAACGGGUGAGUAACACGUGGGUAAUCAACCCCCGACACCGGGAUAGCCCAGGGAAACUUGGAUUAAUACCGGAUGCCCCAUCUGGCUUUCGAGCCGGCUGGAAAAGGGUAGCUUCGGCCUCCGGGCGGGGACGAGCCCGCGGCGGAUUAGCUUGUUGGUGAGGUAAAGGCCCACCAAGGCGACGAGCCGUAGCUGGUCUGAGAGGACGAUCAGCCACACUGGGACUGAGACACGGCCCAGACUCCUACGGGAGGCAGCAGUAGGGAAUCUUGCGCAAUGGGCGAAAGCCUGACGCAGCGACGCCGCGUGAGGGAAGAAGGCCUUCGGGUUGUAAGCCUCUUUCAGGAGGGACGAAGCCACUCGGGUUAAUAGCCUAGAGGGUGACGGUACCUCCAGAAGAAGCCCCGGCUAACUACGUGCCAGCAGCCGCCGUAA